Molecule: ribosomal RNA, 118 nt
Filed under: Pteropus alecto (black flying fox)
Lineage: Eukaryota; Metazoa; Chordata; Mammalia; Chiroptera; Pteropodidae
Source: RNAcentral
GUCUACGCCAUGCUACCCUGAACACACCCGAUCCUGUCUGAUCUUGGAAGCUAAGCAGGGUCGGGCCUGGUUAGCACUUGGAGGGGAGACCACCCAGGAGGACCAGGUGCCGUAAGCA